AGGGCACCACCAGGAGUGGAGCCUGCGGCUUAAUUUGACUCAACACGGGAAAUCUCACCAGGCCCGGACACCGGAAGGAUUGACAGAUUGAGAGCUCUUUCUUGAUUCGGUGGGUGGUGGUGCAUGGCCGUUCUUAGUUGGUGGAGCGAUUUGUCUGGUUAAUUCCGAUAAUGAACGAGACUCUGGCCUACUAACUAGACGUUGGAUCCCUUUGUGGGUCCAUCGCAGCUUCUUAGAGGGGCGGGCGGCGUUUAGCCGCACGAGAUUGAGCAAUAACAGGUCUGUGAUGCCCUUAGAUGUUCUGGGCUGCACGCGCGCUACACUGAAGGAAUCAGCGUGUGUUCCCUAUCCGAAAGGAUUGGGAAACCCGUUGAACCUCCUUCGUGAUGGGGAUUGGGGAUUGCAAUUAUUCCCCAUGAACGAGGAAUUCCCAGUAGGCGCGAGUCAUAAGCUUGCGUCGAUUACGUCCCUGCCCUUUGUACACACCGCCCGUCGCUACUACCGAUCGAGUGAUUUAGU
This 519-nucleotide ribosomal RNA is filed under the name uncultured eukaryote. RNAcentral describes it as "SSU rRNA". It matches the Rfam family "Eukaryotic small subunit ribosomal RNA", at positions 1161 to 1702 of the family's 1831-position model. The record is from RNAcentral.